RNAcentral lists this small RNA (612 nucleotides) under Pongo abelii (Sumatran orangutan). RNAcentral's name for it is "processed transcript". The record is from RNAcentral. Lineage: Eukaryota; Metazoa; Chordata; Mammalia; Primates; Hominidae.
ACUCUCCACACAUGCAUAGCAUGAGAGGUUCCAUGGGCUUAGAGAGGAUUUCGUUUCCGUUAUGUAUGUGAAGGCCCAUCUCAUGGUGGACUACCUGGUGCCUCUAGCGAAAAGAACAAGAAGUCUUACCCUCAGGUCAAAAUCUGCAACUAUGUGGGACCAGCAAAGGUUAUUGUUCAGUUGGUCACAAAUGGAAAAAAUACCCACCUGCAUGCCCACAGCCUGGUGGGAAAACACUGUGAGGAUGGGAUCUGCACUGUAACUGCUGGACCCAAGGACAUGGUGGUCGGCUUUGCAAAUCUGGGUAUACUUCAUGUGACAAAGAAAAAAGUAUUUGAAACACUGGAAGCACGAAUGACAGAGGCGUGUAUAAGGGGCUAUAAUCCUGGACUCUUGGUGCACCCUGACCUUGCCUAUUUGCAAGCAGAAGGUGGAGGGGACCGGCAGCUGGGAGAUCGGGAAAAAGAGCUAAUCCGCCAAGCAGCUCUGCAGCAGACCAAGGAGAUGGACCUCAGCGUGGUGCGGCUCAUGUUUACAGCUUUUCUUCCGGAUAGCACUGGCAGCUUCACAAGGCGCCUGGAACCCGUGGUAUCAGAUGCCAUCUAUGACAGU